This 120-nucleotide ribosomal RNA is filed under the name Ensis ensis. The record is from RNAcentral. Lineage: Eukaryota; Metazoa; Mollusca; Bivalvia; Adapedonta; Pharidae.
GUCUACGGCCCCAUCACGUUGAAAACACCGGUNNNCGUCCGAUCACCGAAGUUAAGCAACGUCGAGCCCGGUUAGUACUUGGAUGGGUGACCGCCUGGGAAUACCGGGUGCUGUAGGCUU